UGCUGCAUUGACUGGCUCGCACUGGAACAAGUCCAACUGGCUGAUGCGGUCAGAACCCUUCUAUCGAUUGAUCCAUGGGAGCUCUUUUUUGGGAUCAUCGAGACGACGUACCUCGAGUUCACACUGGAAUUCUGUUCAACAUUCCACUUCCAAACUGUUAUGAUAGAGUGUGAUGAUCCAGGAACGGUCCAAUUCUGCCUCAGUG
This 205-nucleotide long non-coding RNA is filed under the name Gossypium barbadense (sea-island cotton). RNAcentral's name for it is "long non-coding RNA (GBAR_LNC012550)". The record is from RNAcentral. Lineage: Eukaryota; Viridiplantae; Streptophyta; Magnoliopsida; Malvales; Malvaceae.